This 1531-nucleotide ribosomal RNA is filed under the name Klebsiella pneumoniae subsp. rhinoscleromatis. RNAcentral describes it as "bacterial SSU rRNA". It matches the Rfam family "Bacterial small subunit ribosomal RNA". The record is from RNAcentral. Lineage: Bacteria; Pseudomonadati; Pseudomonadota; Gammaproteobacteria; Enterobacterales; Enterobacteriaceae.
AGAGUUUGAUCAUGGCUCAGAUUGAACGCUGGCGGCAGGCCUAACACAUGCAAGUCGAGCGGUAGCACAGAGAGCUUGCUCUCGGGUGACGAGCGGCGGACGGGUGAGUAAUGUCUGGGAAACUGCCUGAUGGAGGGGGAUAACUACUGGAAACGGUAGCUAAUACCGCAUAACGUCGCAAGACCAAAGUGGGGGACCUUCGGGCCUCAUGCCAUCCAGAUGUGCCCAGAUGGGAUUAGCUAGUAGGUGGGGUAACGGCUCACCUAGGCGACGAUCCCCUAGCUGGUCUGAGAGGAUGACCAGCCACACUGGAACUGAGACACGGUCCAGACUCCUACGGGAGGCAGCAGUGGGGAAUAUUGCACAAUGGGCGCAAGCCUGAUGCAGCCAUGCCGCGUGUGUGAAGAAGGCCUUCGGGUUGUAAAGCACUUUCAGCGGGGAGGAAGGCGAUAAGGUUAAUAACCUUGUCGAUUGACGUUACCCGCAGAAGAAGCACCGGCUAACUCCGUGCCAGCAGCCGCGGUAAUACGGAGGGUGCAAGCGUUAAUCGGAAUUACUGGGCGUAAAGCGCACGCAGGCGGUCUGUCAAGUCGGAUGUGAAAUCCCCGGGCUCAACCUGGGAACUGCAUUCGAAACUGGCAGGCUAGAGUCUUGUAGAGGGGGGUAGAAUUCCAGGUGUAGCGGUGAAAUGCGUAGAGAUCUGGAGGAAUACCGGUGGCGAAGGCGGCCCCCUGGACAAAGACUGACGCUCAGGUGCGAAAGCGUGGGGAGCAAACAGGAUUAGAUACCCUGGUAGUCCACGCCGUAAACGAUGUCGAUUUGGAGGUUGUGCCCUUGAGGCGUGGCUUCCGGAGCUAACGCGUUAAAUCGACCGCCUGGGGAGUACGGCCGCAAGGUUAAAACUCAAAUGAAUUGACGGGGGCCCGCACAAGCGGUGGAGCAUGUGGUUUAAUUCGAUGCAACGCGAAGAACCUUACCUGGUCUUGACAUCCACAGAACUUAGCAGAGAUGCUUUGGUGCCUUCGGGAACUGUGAGACAGGUGCUGCAUGGCUGUCGUCAGCUCGUGUUGUGAAAUGUUGGGUUAAGUCCCGCAACGAGCGCAACCCUUAUCCUUUGUUGCCAGCGGUUAGGCCGGGAACUCAAAGGAGACUGCCAGUGAUAAACUGGAGGAAGGUGGGGAUGACGUCAAGUCAUCAUGGCCCUUACGACCAGGGCUACACACGUGCUACAAUGGCAUAUACAAAGAGAAGCGACCUCGCGAGAGCAAGCGGACCUCAUAAAGUAUGUCGUAGUCCGGAUUGGAGUCUGCAACUCGACUCCAUGAAGUCGGAAUCGCUAGUAAUCGUAGAUCAGAAUGCUACGGUGAAUACGUUCCCGGGCCUUGUACACACCGCCCGUCACACCAUGGGAGUGGGUUGCAAAAGAAGUAGGUAGCUUAACCUUCGGGGAGGGCGCUUACCACUUUGUGAUUCAUGACUGGGGUGAAGUCGUAACAAGGUAACCGUAGGGGAACCUGCGGUUGGAUCACCU